Molecule: ribosomal RNA, 253 nt
Filed under: uncultured bacterium
Lineage: Bacteria
Description: partial 16S ribosomal RNA
Rfam family: Bacterial small subunit ribosomal RNA
Source: RNAcentral
UACGGAGGGGGCUAGCGUUGCUCGGAAUUACUGGGCGUAAAGCGCACGUAGGCGGCUUUGCAAGUUAGAGGUGAAAGCCCGGGGCUCAACUCCGGAAUUGCCUUUAAGACUGCAUCGCUAGAAUUGUGGAGAGGUAAGUGGAAUUCCGAGUGUAGAGGUGAAAUUCGUAGAUAUUCGGAAGAACACCAGUGGCGAAGGCGACUCACUGGACACAUAUUGACGCUGAGGUGCGAAAGCGUGGGGAGCAAACAGG